CUCCCUAGAUGUUGUUAUUUACAUCAGUUUCUUCUGGUGCUUUGUUUUUUGUCCAACAGUCUCUCGAGAUUUGGUUUGUAAGUUUCCUCAACCAAGCUUUGGAUAGGUGGAUGUUUGGGUGAAUUCCGUCGUCCAAGAGGCUUAAAUUAUACAAUCUCCUACUCUUGGUAUUUCCUUGCCUACAGCUGUGUGAAGUACCUGCUUGAUAUGUUCUUUGUUGCCUGGUUGAUGUCCUAUACAAGUCUAUGUUGAAAUUUGGAGAAAAGUUUUGAUGGUUCAAGGUUCUUAUGGCUUUGUUAAUUUCGAUUAUUUGUUGCUCUAAUUGGAUGUCUUGAUCGUAAAAUACUUCCGGGUCUUUAUGGUUGUGUGAUUUAUUCCAGGCUUGUUAGGAAA
RNAcentral lists this long non-coding RNA (393 nucleotides) under Mytilus galloprovincialis (Mediterranean mussel). The record is from RNAcentral. Lineage: Eukaryota; Metazoa; Mollusca; Bivalvia; Mytilida; Mytilidae.